AUACGGUAUGCGAUUCUCAUGGUGGACAGUGCGAGUGUUUGAGUAAUAUCAUAUCCAGAACAUGUGACUAUUGCGCUGUCUAUCACUAUGGUUACGAGUCUGGGCUAGGAUGUACUAGCUGUGAUUGUCAUCCUGAAGGCUCUCUGUCAUUGUCAUGCAACCAUACAACAGGCAUUUGUGAUUGUCAAGUGUUUGUAAAUGGUUCUAAAUGUGACAUUUGUUAUACCGAGUAUUAUGGACUUGAUUCAGGUUCUGGCUGCACUCCCUGUGUAUGUGAAUCUGAAUAUUCCCUUAAUAACAGAUGUAGCAAUGAUGGACAGUGUGAUUGUAAAUCUGGCAUUGGAGGUGUGUCCUGCGAUGUAUGUCAAGCAGGGUUUUAUAAUUUAACGACUGAUGGGUGCACGGCAUGCGAGUGCAACGUGUAUGGUACGACUGCUAGUGAAUGCAAUUCCAAUGAUGGCACGUGUACGUGUACAAUUGCGACACAAGGGGAUAA
Saccoglossus kowalevskii is the source of this 496-nucleotide long non-coding RNA. The record is from RefSeq and is a predicted model, not a curated record. Lineage: Eukaryota; Metazoa; Hemichordata; Enteropneusta; Harrimaniidae.